Non-coding RNA from Elaeis guineensis (African oil palm), 5292 nucleotides. The record is from RefSeq and is a predicted model, not a curated record. Lineage: Eukaryota; Viridiplantae; Streptophyta; Magnoliopsida; Arecales; Arecaceae.
UAUAUAAUUAAAUUUUGAUUUGUUUACUAGGAGAAAUCUGCUCUUUUUACCAUGAGAGGUUAAUGAUUUCCGUAGUUCUUGGGCUGAAGCAGAAAGUUUUCCAAUUUCUUAGGGCUCUGUUGAUGCUUCUGGAGAAAUAUGGUUUCAUUCUUAUGCUACCUGGACGGAGAAUUUGGGUUCUUGAAUGAAGUUAGCUUCUAUAUUUCAACUGCGUUUGGUAUUAUAUUUUAUAUUUAAUAGUGGUGCUAUCUUAACGCUUAUUAUACUGAUAAUUUGCUGAGGUGGAUUCAUGAUUGUAGAAGGUUCUUUUUUCUUGAUUAUUUAUGAUUUUGGAGAAAAGAAUUGGGGGAAGUAUCUUGAUUAGUUACAUAUGAUCUUUUCUUUUUCAAAUUAUUGUGUUCUGUCACUGCUUGCUAUGCUUUGGCAAAAUAGAUUUUGCAAUAUAUUUCAUGCUUGUAACAGUUGUCUUUGCUUGAAUAUUUGUAAUGGUUGAGCUCAUGUAUGAAAUAGAGCUUUGUUAGCUCUCCCGUUUGACAUAACACUGAGGAUUGCUUGCUGAGGGUUUAGUUAAGUCUGAGGGUUUUGUCAUCACACUGCGGGUUGCUUGCUGAACUUGGUGUGAUCUCAGGAUUGGACCGAUUGUGAGAAUAGAAGAUGAUUAGCACUUGCUCUCUCCAUUGAAAUCGGAAAAGAAUAUAUUUCGUGAUUUUCAUACUUGGAAAAAAUAAGAUCUAUGGAAUCCUGGCAACAUAGAAAUUAAAUUUUUAUGGGUCCAUCCAAUUGUGUGAUUGGAUGUCUCUGAAAGACAUUCUACAUCACUCUUUUGGGGAAUGCAGCAGAAUUUUCAUGUUUUAUAUUAUCAAGUCCAUGUUUGGAUGGUGUGAUUAAUUAAUGGAGGGAUGAGGAAGUAGGUGGAUUUUAAUCCCAGAUAGGGAAUGCUUCAUGCAAUCCUUGUUUUGACUGUGGAGUCAUGUAUUUUAUUUCAAGAUGGAGAAUAAUUCAAGAUAUCCUUGUUUUGACCUUAGGUCAGGUCCUGCCCACUUCUGUGUGUGUGCAUGCACAUGUAUGUGCGGGUGCAUGCAUGAGGUUGUGCUGGAAGUUAUCUUUCCAUCAUAUCAACUGGGCUCGAAGAUCUAAUCCAAUGGUUAGCUUCUAAUGCUAUUUUCUUGGCACUGGACUAUACCAAAUCCAUCCCAUAUCUGUGCAGAUUUUGUGGGAGUCAAGUUUGGUCAACUUUGACCAUGACCAGGUCCAUAUGCAUCCUCAUAAUCGACAUAUUAUUCCACCGAUCCAACUGUAUGUUUGAUAUGGUUUCUUGUUCUUUGUAUAUCGAUCAAUCAAUCAAUCAAGAGAUUGAGAUUGUGUGUGUGUGAGAGAGAGAGAGAGAGACUGUAUUAUCAGUAUGCAAUGCAUAAUAAUCCCCAUGCAAAUAUUUGUGUAGGCUUGAUGAAAUACCGUCAUAGCACAACCAACAAGCGAUCUCUACAGCCACCAUUUUUUAGCCUACCUUAUAAUUCUAGCGAGACAAGGUUGGUUCUACUCAUAUCAUUACUAACCGGUGUACUGUACAAUAUUCUCGACAACACAACAUAUAGGUAGUUCUGCCUCUAAACUUUUAUGUUUGCUUCUUUCCCCUUAUUAAUUUCAGAACUAAAGAGUGCAUCACCAUUUUAUUUUCAGCUUCAUCUAAAUGCUUAUCAUUUGGUGGUCCUCUUUCUUCUCCUCCCUUACUCCCUUUUUUUUUCGUAGUAGUAGGUAUUCUUUGUAUCCUAAAUAGUUGACUUCAUGUACCACCUUUUUUUUUAACUUAUACUAGAGGGAAAUUGUAGCUUUGGCUAUUUUUGACUUCAUUUAUAAAAGGUUUGUUAUUGUCCAAAUUGUUGAAACUUGAAACAGAAUAACAUAAACUUUUGGCUGAGAUUCUUGCUCAUUACAUCCUCUUGUAAGAUUAUUGCAUAUCACAGGGCUACCAUGUAGUUAUCUUCUGUCAUCUGGUGUUCAAAACCUGCCAUGUCAUUUUCUAUGGAAGUUCUUAAACCAUGUUUGUACUUCACCACUGGGAUAAAUUGACAUGCUGAUUCUAAUGUAUAGUUUAGAUAACUUGUUCAUGUAUUAUUCAAGUUUCUAUCUCAUUGAUGCAAAAAUAGAACCCUAUAAAGUGCAGGGGAAAAAAGAACUCAAACAGUUAUAAAGUCUCAUUUGACAAUAAACUCUACAUUGAAGAGCAAAAGAUUUCAUCAGUUCAGCCUACAAUGCCUUGAUUUAUUAUACCUAGCAUGCUAUCAAUGCAUUGAUCUUGUAUCUUUUUUUUUCUUUCCUGAGUGAUUUAUUUCACACUCCAUAAUGUGAAUCUUAUGAAUCCUUUCUGUUGGCAUACCUAUUUUCACAUGUCAAUGAGAGUCUAUUCACUUUGGUACUAGUAUAAGUGAUCCUAAGUUGGGAUAGCAUGUGCAUUUAAUAGAUGUGAAUCCCAAUCAUUUAGAUCAACAGAUACUAUACUAAUUUCUCCAACUUCUUAUCUAGGAAAGAAAAGGCAGGUUGUGGGGUUCUUUUUCCUUCUUUUUUUUUUUUGUCUUGUGAGAAUAAAGUUGUGGGUUUCUUAAGCUUCUGGUCCAGUUACUCCUGCACUGUGCGGUCUGUGCCUAUGUCUGUGUGUACAAGUCUGCAUUUAUGCACACACAUUUUCAUGUAUUUACAUAUGCACUAGUGCAUGCAUAUCCUUGGUGGGAAGACAUGAGUAUGGUCUGCCUGUGUGUAGCACAACAUGUAUUAUAAAUUUUUGAGAAAGGUCUUAAGUUCAAUCUGUUAGACUGAAAUUCAAUUAGAAUUUCAUCAGAUACUGAUGUGAUAACUAAAUUAAGGAUAGCACAUGCAUGGUUGUCUGGGCAAAUGACUGCACAAAGUGCAGAGAAGAUAGCACAGAAAUGGCCAAACUGCUUUUUGUCUUUCACAUCAAAUAGUAUAGUAUGUGUGGGUACGUGUGCAUGCAUGUAUGUGUUUGUACUUCUCUGCUUAGUAAGUGCUUGGGUUCUAGAAACACAAACUCUCAGGAACUUUAUUUAUAGAGAUCAACCAUAUAAAUCUGCUGAGUUAUGUUCAUUGCCUGUGCAUUGAGAUAGACUUCUGCACAUGGUCCAUAGGAGGAUGCAUGAAAUGACUGCACUGUGUUCCUCAUGCUGCACAUUUUCAGGUACGUUCUUCUUUUUAAUGCCCUAAUUUUAUGAUGAAGUUUCACAGGACUGAACAUCCUUCUCGUUUAUAUGGUAUUCCAUGAAGUAAUGGACAACACAUUUUUGCCUUCAGAUGUGUCUCUUUAGGUUUCAAAAUUCUCAAAGUUCUUCUUUUGGGCAUGACAUUACACCUAGUAAUUGGAAGACCUGUCAUUUUUGCCUUGUUAUCAUCUCUCCUCAAUUCUUUGGUACAUGAAUUGACAGGCAUUCCAAUUGCCUUGACCUUUCACUUAGAUGCUUGUGGCAACUUCAUAUUUUUUAAAUUCUAUAAUCUCAUGCCAUGAGCUCUCUUUCUAGGAGUCUAUUUUUAAGCAUGAAAGGGACAUGGAAAGAGUUUGCAUAAUUCUAACCAAAAGAUACAAUUAUAAGGUAUGCAUAGUUAUUUCAACAAAAUUCGUGUUUCUUUUGUCAAGAAAAUGUUCAUUACAAAUUAACAAGUGGCCUAUGUUAAUAAAAUUUCAUGACAGCUUGCAAAUACUUGUCUUCUCUUUGUGGCAACAACUUUAAAGUUAGUUGAUGGUUUACUGCUUUAAUGGGUUUCAAGUAUCAUGCAUUUGACUCAUUGAAACUUGAACUGUUUAUUAUGUUGAUAUUAUUAGUCAAUUCCUGAACACUACAUGAUCAUAGUGCCACUUCUUCACUCUGAAUAAAGUGUAGUUGUUGAGUUUCCCCUAAGCCUUUUUCUUGAACUUACUCUGAGUGGAGCAAUGAUGAGAUUUUUCUUUUUGUGCUUCAAAUUUUUAAGGGAAAACAUGUGAUUAAUAUUACAAAAUAUAAUGCAAAAAUGUAUGCUAAUUAUGACUUGCAUAACACAUAUGCUCGUGACAACUCAUCUAUCUCCCUAUUUUUGAAAUGUCAUACUAUCACCACUCACAAUAAGAAGAUUCCAUUUUCAAUUCUACAUCUUUGACCAUGAUAAAGAAUUGGUUAUAAGAUUCUACCUAGUUGCAUCUUGUUCUAAACUUUUCUAAUAAAUUAGUGGAACAUUUUCAACUGUUUAUCUCUCUCUAAAAAAAAAGAAAGAAAACUCAGCAUAAAACUUGUGUCCUCAAUUUUCCUCAUUCUGAAUAGAGUUACUUGUCAAUGUCCUCUCAGCUUCAUACUUAAAUUCUUAGUCUGGACAGAAACCAAUGCUCCAUCCCCGAGCAAAAAAGGAAAUGAUAGAGAGAAGAAAGCAGAAGGAAAGGUCCCUAUAUUGCUUUAGGGACAUUCUGUAAAUGUUGUGAAUAUUGAUGGAAAAAUCAAGCUGAUUGUUUAUCUUAAUGAAAUUAGUUUGGUUCCAUAUUAGGGGAGGAAGGUGGGGAAGUUUGUGACUCCACAAGAGCAUGCAGUAAAUGGCUUCUACUCAUUUGCAACCUCAUGCAAAAGUUUUUGGCCUUUGCCUGUUGAGGAAGUGACUAGCAAGCAUGUUGCACAUCCAACCUGGAAGAAAAGAUACAAGUCAGUGCAUCUAAAUGACUUGUAAAAAAACUUUGCAAUUUGCCUUGGAAUUAAUGGCGGUACAAGCUUGCGCCUUUCCUAGCAUCAUUAUAUGCUUUGAUGUCAUUGCUUAUGCCUAAGUUCCCUUUUUCUGAAAAUAAAGGCUCGUAUAGAUUAUUUUCAAGCCUCAUAAGAAUUAUUGCAUGCCAUGUUUGUGGGGAAUGGAAAAGUGGAAAUGCUUAAAUAUAUAUGACAGUUGUCAUCUUUCCAUUUUAGGUAAAUAUCUGUGAUACUAUCAAGAUGCAUGGGUCUUCUAAACCCUAGUAUGGGACCUUGACGGUGGAAAGCUCGAGCCGAUCACAUGGGAAAGCUGUUCAUCGCUUGAAUCUAGAAGAGGUGGUGUUCUGGACCAUUAGAUAAGUGCUAUAACUCUUCCUAGGGAUCUUCUUUUACAUCUGAUGACAAAGAAAGCGACAAUUGGAUUCUAUAGAAUACACCAAGAAGAUUAUGUAAUCUUAUUAAUUGAAAAACAAUAUCCUUGUCGCCCGCAUUCUUUUUCUCUUAUUUUCUUUUGGUUACAGUACCGCCAGAUUUCAUUGGUGGACCUGAAGCUUUCUUUCAUGUAUUAAAUAGGUUUAUUUUG